This is a regulatory RNA element of Eubacterium sp. CAG:180, 101 nucleotides long. It matches the Rfam family "pemK RNA". The record is from Rfam. NCBI's taxonomy places the organism in Bacteria, Bacillati, Bacillota, Clostridia, Eubacteriales, Eubacteriaceae.
AUAAUGAUACUUCCGUUCAGUCCUAAAGUCGAGCGUGAUAAGACCGUCGCAACAAAGGAGAGCGGCUCGGAGAGAUCCUCGGAGUGGUGAAAUUCCAAUGA